UCGGGAAUUUUGGGCAAUGGGCGAAAGCCUGACCCAGCAACGCCGCGUGAGGGAUGAAGUAUUUCGGUAUGUAAACCUCGAAAGAAUAGGAAGAAUAAAUGACGGUACUAUUUAUAAGCUCCGGCUAACUACGUGCCAGCAGCCGCGGUAAUACGUAGGGAGCAAGCGUUGUUCGGAUUUACUGGGCGUAAAGGGCGCGUAGGCGGCAUAUUAAGUCAGCUGUGAAAUCUCCGAGCUUAACUCGGAACUGUCAGCUGAUACUGAUGUGCUAGAGUGCAGAAGGGGCAAUCGGAAUUCUUGGUGUAGCGGUGAAAUGCGUAGAUAUCAAGAGGAACACCUGAGGUGAAGACGGGUUGCUGGGCUGACACUGACGCUGAGGCGCGAAAGCCAGGGGAGCAAACGGG
Molecule: ribosomal RNA, 404 nt
Filed under: uncultured bacterium
Lineage: Bacteria
Description: bacterial SSU rRNA
Rfam family: Bacterial small subunit ribosomal RNA
Source: RNAcentral